Molecule: long non-coding RNA, 294 nt
Filed under: Setaria italica (foxtail millet)
Lineage: Eukaryota; Viridiplantae; Streptophyta; Magnoliopsida; Poales; Poaceae
Description: long non-coding RNA (SITA_LNC002767)
Source: RNAcentral
UUAGAUACUACUAAUCUCACGUGCCAUCAGAAAGCAAAGCAAAAAAAAAAGACCCAAGCAUAUAAUAUUAGUUAACUUUUCAAGUGCAUAGUCUAAGAAGUCGCUGGAUUUAAGAAGAAAAGGGGGCUAAAAUUGACAUGCUACAAACUGUUCAUCCACUGACAUUGUGUGUAAUCAAAAUAUUUUUUUUUUGAAAGAACCGUACAACACAGUGCAAGUUUUUAUUAAUAUAGCAGAAAAAAGAUAAGACCAUAAUCUUGAAAAACCAUAGUCAGGAAAAGAAAAGAAAACUAG